GUAGGGAAUAUUGGGCAAUGGAGGCAACUCUGACCCAGCCAUGCCGCGUGCAGGAUGACGGCCCUCUGGGUUGUAAACUGCUUAUAUACGGGAAGAAAAAAUACUACGUGUAGUAUACUGACGGUACCGUAAGAAUAAGGAUCGGCUAACUCCGUGCCAGCAGCCGCGGUAAUACGGAGGAUCCAAGCGUUGUCCGGAUUUAUUGGGUUUAAAGGGUGCGUAGGCGGAUCUUUAAGUCAGUGGUGAAAGCCUGCAGCUUAACUGUAGAAUUGCCAUUGAAACUGAAGAUCUUGAAUGUGGUUAAAGUAGGCGGAAUGUAUCAUGUAGCGGUGAAAUGCUUAGAUAUGAUACAGAACACCGAUAGCGAAGGCAGCUUGCUGAACCAUUAUUGACGCUGAGGCACGAAAGCGUGGGGAGCGAACAGGAUUAGAUACCCCAGUAGUCC
This 445-nucleotide ribosomal RNA is filed under the name uncultured bacterium. RNAcentral's name for it is "partial 16S ribosomal RNA". It matches the Rfam family "Bacterial small subunit ribosomal RNA", at positions 354 to 796 of the family's 1533-position model. The record is from RNAcentral.